This is a long non-coding RNA of Ictalurus punctatus (channel catfish), 1289 nucleotides long. The record is from Ensembl. Lineage: Eukaryota; Metazoa; Chordata; Actinopteri; Siluriformes; Ictaluridae.
UAUACAUUACACAAUAUACAUUAUGUGUACUUUUGCGUUAUUUCUAACACUAGACAUCUGUAUGUGUAUGUGGGUGAGUUUUUUUUUUAGAAAAGCGGAUGCUGUUUUGUGUGAAAUGAUGAUUGCUCGGAAGGUCCUAACUGUUGUUCCCCAAGGGAUAUACCACACGCACACACACACAUAUACACACACACACACAUACACACUCACACGUUGUCUGUUGUACUGUAGUGUGCACUUCAAGUAUAAAACUAUGUGUUAGUUUGUGAAAGUAAGAGUGUUUUACACACAGAUGUGUAAAAGGAGGUGUAAUAACUCUGCUGGAGGAGGAAGUGUGUAUCGGACCUACUGACAUAUUUUCAAAAAAAAAAAAAAACAAAAAAAAAACAACCCACACUCGCUCACACUUUUCUACACACACUCUCUAGUAUGACUCUUCUCUCAUUUGCGUGUGUGCAUGUGUGUGUGAAUGUGCGUGUUUGUGUGUGUGUGUGUAAACUAUAUUAAAGCUGUUGUUACAUCGGGCACAUACUUCUCACACCUACACACACACACGCGCACACACACACGCACAAUUAGCUUUUACAAGCUGAACUCAUUUGAGUUAAUUAAAAUAUCACUUGGGUUCUGAUAAUUUUGUGAAGAUGUUACAGACUUUAUAAGACCAUUCCACUGCACAACUCUGUGUGUGUGUCUGUGUGUGUGUUGUGUGUGUGUGUGUGUGUGUGUGUGUGUGUGUGUGUGUGUGUGUGUGUGUGAUUACAGUGAUAAAGUAAUUGUCAGCACUACCUGACCAUGGCUCUGAAAAACAACACAGCAAGUAUGUGUGUUUGUGUGUGUGUGUGUGUGUGUGUGUUUGUGUGUGUGUGUGUGUGUGUAGUUUUGAGUUAGGAGUGUCAAACUGAUGUGUGUGUGUGUUUGUGUGUGUGUGUGUGUGUGUAGUUUUGAGUUAGGAGUGUCAAACUGAUGUGUGUGUGUGUGUGUGUGUGUGUGUGUGUGUGUGUGUGUGUGUGUGUGUGUGUGUGUGUGUGAUUACAGUGAUAAAGUAAUCGUGUGUAUGUUAUUUUCAGAAGUUGAACAAAACCUGACCAUGGCUCUGAAAAACAACACAGCAAGUAUGUGUGUGUGUGUGUGUGUGUGUGUGUGUGUGUAGUUUUGAGUUAGGAGUGUCAAACUGAUGUGUGUGUGUGUGUGUGUGUUUUUGAGUUAGGAGUGUCAAACUGAUGUGUGUGUGUGGUUUUGAGUUAGGAGUGUCAAACUGAUGUGUGUGUGUGUGUGUGUGUGUGUAG